GAUGAACGCUGGCGGCGUGCCUAAUACAUGCAAGUCGAGCGAACAGACGAGGAGCUUGCUCCUCUGACGUUAGCGGCGGACGGGUGAGUAACACGUGGAUAACCUACCUAUAAGACUGGGAUAACUUCGGGAAACCGGAGCUAAUACCGGAUAAUAUAUUGAACCGCAUGGUUCAAUAGUGAAAGACGGUUUUGCUGUCACUUAUAGAUGGAUCCGCGCCGCAUUAGCUAGUUGGUAAGGUAACGGCUUACCAAGGCAACGAUGCGUAGCCGACCUGAGAGGGGGAUCGGCCACACUGGAACUGAGACACGGUACAGACUCCUACGGGAGGCAGCAAUAGGGAAUCUUCCGCAAUGGGCGAAAGCCUGACGGAGCAACGCCGCGUGAGUGAUGAAGGUCUUCGGAUCGUAAAACUCUGUUAUUAGGGAAGAACAAAUGUGUAAGUAACUAUGCACGUCUUGACGGUACCUAAUCAGAAAGCCACGGCUAACUACGUG
RNAcentral lists this ribosomal RNA (497 nucleotides) under uncultured bacterium. RNAcentral's name for it is "partial 16S ribosomal RNA". It matches the Rfam family "Bacterial small subunit ribosomal RNA", at positions 28 to 507 of the family's 1533-position model. The record is from RNAcentral.